RNAcentral lists this ribosomal RNA (517 nucleotides) under uncultured bacterium. RNAcentral describes it as "bacterial SSU rRNA". It matches the Rfam family "Bacterial small subunit ribosomal RNA", at positions 336 to 863 of the family's 1533-position model. The record is from RNAcentral.
CUCCUACGGGAGGCUGCAGUGGGGAAUAUUGCACAAUGGGCGGAAGCCUGAUGCAGCAACGCCGCGUGAGGGAUGACGGCCUUCGGGUUGUAAACCUCUUUUAGCAGGGAAGAAGCGUGAGUGACGGUACCUGCAGAAAAAGCGCCGGCUAACUACGUGCCAGCAGCCGCGGUAAUACGUAGGGCGCAAGCGUUAUCCGGAAUUAUUGGGCGUAAAGAGCUCGUAGGCGGUUUGUCGCGUCUGCUGUGAAAUCCCGAGGCUCAACCUCGGGUCUGCAGUGGGUACGGGCAGACUAGAGUGCGGUAGGGGAGAUUGGAAUUCCUGGUGUAGCGGUGGAAUGCGCAGAUAUCAGGAGGAACACCGAUGGCGAAGGCAGAUCUCUGGGCCGUAACUGACGCUGAGGAGCGAAAGGGUGGGGAGCAAACAGGCUUAGAUACCCUGGUAGUCCACCCCGUAAACGUUGGGAACUAGUUGUGGGGUCCUUUCCACGGAUUCCGUGACGCAGCUAACGCAUUAA